RNAcentral lists this transfer RNA (73 nucleotides) under Felis catus (domestic cat). It matches the Rfam family "tRNA". Rfam says of the family: Transfer RNA (tRNA) molecules are approximately 80 nucleotides in length. RNAcentral also lists the same sequence under 4 other names. Lineage: Eukaryota; Metazoa; Chordata; Mammalia; Carnivora; Felidae. The record is from Rfam by way of RNAcentral.
GCCCAGCUGGUUCAGUGGGUAGAGCGCACAACUCUUGAUCUUGGGGUUGUGGGUUUGAGGCCCAUGUUGAGUG